RNAcentral lists this long non-coding RNA (902 nucleotides) under Chinchilla lanigera (long-tailed chinchilla). RNAcentral describes it as "lncRNA (ENSCLAG00000026706.1)". Lineage: Eukaryota; Metazoa; Chordata; Mammalia; Rodentia; Chinchillidae. The record is from RNAcentral.
UGUCAAUUUCAGUAAGAAAUACCCAACUAAAUUCGAUCAGCACAGUUCUGGGUGUGGCUGAGAGGAUUUACUAAAGACAGAAGCCCCACCCAGGGUGUGAGUGACACCAACCAAUCGGCUUGCUAUCUGAAUGGAGUAAAAGGGGAAACAAAGAAGGAAGACUUACUUCUGUUUCUUCAGAGGAGCUCUGCUCUUCACCUUCAUCUUGGACAUCAUCUCCUGGCUUCCAGCACACUCUUCAGUCUUCAAGUGCCGACACUUUGGCCUCCUGAUGAGGACUUGGUCAGGACACUCAGUGAGCUCUAAGUCUUCAGCUGGACCCUGUGGAUCUCCAGGCAGUCCUUUGCGCUUUUCCACAUCUGACUCUGUGACCGGCCAUUUUUUGGUGACAGGUGAGCAGAAUUUGCUCCGGGCAAACACAAUGGAACAGCCCUAUCAUGGAAGGCCCGCCAGAGUGAAGACCAGCAUGGCCAGCAGCAGGACUCCGAGAGGAAGUAGCAAGUCCAGACAGACGGGAUGGGCCUGCAGCCAAGAGAAAGAAAGCAGCCAACAGGAAUCAGCACUGGCUGCACAGGGAUCUGCGUGUGCAGUUCCUGGACAAGCUGCACAAGGAUGACCAGUAUUACAACACCAAGAUGAGGACUGAAGAUGUCCUGAGCCCUGAUGCACGUAUGUGCAGGGAAGAUGUUUGGAGACCCCGCUUCCCAAAGUUGAGGUUGAGUGUGUGAUGCUGGUGCUGGGGCCACAGGCUGGAAAGAUGGGACAUCUGCUAAGCAGGGACCAAGCAUGGAGCUGGGCUUUGUACAGCGGAGGAGAAUCAUUUGGGAGCACUUCACUACCAUGCUGUGUGCUAGUACAUGGGCCCCAGUGACUCAGAUGAAGACUGCCCGUGGGAUGACUCC